RNAcentral lists this ribosomal RNA (465 nucleotides) under uncultured bacterium. RNAcentral's name for it is "partial 16S ribosomal RNA". It matches the Rfam family "Bacterial small subunit ribosomal RNA", at positions 338 to 795 of the family's 1533-position model. The record is from RNAcentral.
CCUACGGGAGGCAGCAGUGGGGAAUAUUGCGCAAUGGGCGAAAGCCUGACGCAGCGACGUAGCGUGAGGGAUGAAGGUCCUCGGAUCGUAAACCUCUGUCAGCAGGGAAGUAAGGUCACUGUGCUAAUCAGUAGUGAAUUGACGGUACCUGUAAAGGAAGCACCGGCUAACUCCGUGCGAGCAGACGCGGUAAUACGGAGGGUGCGAGCGUUAAUCGGAUUUAUUGGGCGUAAAGGGAGCGUAGACGGUAUGUCAAGUAAAGGGUGAAAGCGCCGCGCGCAACGGGGGAACUGCAUUUGAUACUGGCAAACUGGAGUGUGGGAGAGGAUAGUGGAAUUCGAGGUGUAGGGGUGAAAUCCGUAGAUAUCUGGAAGAACAUCAGUGGCGAAGGCGGCUAUCUAACACAUAACUGACACUGAGGAGCGAAAGCGUGGGUAGCAAACAGGAUUAGAUACCCGAGUAGUC